Non-coding RNA from Pelobates cultripes (western spadefoot toad), 403 nucleotides. NCBI's taxonomy places the organism in Eukaryota, Metazoa, Chordata, Amphibia, Anura, Pelobatidae. The record is from the annotation of a GenBank genome assembly.
CACCAGAGUCAAUAAAAACAUUUGGUCUGAUUAGUUUUAGUUUCUAUGAAGUGGAAUCGACCUGUUAGGAGGUUUUUUUGGCAGGCAAAUUGACUUGUUUACUUUGUUUGACAUAAUUUAGAGAAGUUUCUUUGUUUUCCUUCAGUGACAAACAUUUCAAAUAAAAAUAGUUUACGUAAGUAAAGUUGGUAACAGAUGUGAGAAUUCCAUAAUCGAAAUCAUGCAUGGGGUACUGCUUUGAAGAAACUACACGUUGGGGGAACGUUUGAAACAACAAAAGUUUAAAAAAGAGAAAACUCAGCACAUAUAUUUUAAGCUAUUAUGUAAGGAAAAAAUACUUUUACAACCUAUGAUAAAUGACAAUGAGACUAUUCGAUGGCAUAUUUAAAAAUUGAGUUUCAGG